GAUGAACGCUGGCGGCGUGCCUAAUACAUGCAAGUCGAACGCUUUGUCUUUAAUUGAUAUGAAGAGCUUGCUCUGAUUUGAUUUUAUCUGACAAAGAGUGGCGAACGGGUGAGUAACACGUGGGUAACCUACCUCUUAGCAGGGGAUAACAUUUGGAAACAAGUGCUAAUACCGUAUAACACUAACAACCGCAUGGUUGUUAGUUGAAAGAUGGUUCUGCUAUCACUAAGAGAUGGACCCGCGGUGCAUUAGCUAGUUGGUAAGGUAAUGGCUUACCAAGGCGAUGAUGCGUAGCCGAGUUGAGAGACUGAUCGGCCACAAUGGGACUGAGACACGGCCCAUACUCCUACGGGAGGCAGCAGUAGGGAAUCUUCCACAAUGGGCGCAAGCCUGAUGGAGCAACGCCGCGUGUGUGAUGUAGGGUUUCGGCUCGUAAAACACUGUUAUAAGAGAAGAACGACAUUGAGAGUAACUGUUCAGUGUGUGACGGUAUCUUAUCAGAAAGGAACGGCUAAAUACGUG
This 522-nucleotide ribosomal RNA is filed under the name uncultured bacterium. RNAcentral describes it as "partial 16S ribosomal RNA". It matches the Rfam family "Bacterial small subunit ribosomal RNA", at positions 28 to 507 of the family's 1533-position model. The record is from RNAcentral.